AUUUUUAGGUAUUUUCACUGCAUACAGUAGAUCGCAGUGUGUAUUGAAGAUUAUGACCCAGUCGACUGGAUGAGUACAUUACAUAAGGCUGUGAAAGGGAAUACCAGCAAGAAUUUUGAGAGAAAAGGAACAUAUUACUAUCAGAUGUGAGUGUUCAGAAGAUGCCUAAGAAAUGUGUAAAAAUGAAAAUAAAUCUAAAUAACCCUAUUUACGUUUUACUUACUCUGCUGUUGUUCCGUGCACAGGCAGAACAGUAUGUAACCCUUCCUCUCUCCACCAUAAUCUUCUCCAUGUGAAAAAUGAUGAAUCUGUAGAGAUGAGGUUCUCCUUGUGAGUAAGACUUCCAGUUUGCCAGGGCCCUUGGUCACGCAGAGGGGCUAGUCUCUUAUCUGCAGACAACCCAGAGAGGAGAAGGGCUAAUAUUAGACACUGUCCUGCUCAAAUAUUGGACAAAAAUCUCCCUAAUAUCUCUGCUGGAUGCUUCAUCGUCUCCCAUCAUUGUCAGUGCUUCCAUGAUCACGAGUCUAACCAAAUAUUCCAGAAUAUGUCAUCUCAGAGCCAUCUUGGGGAAUAUUACAACUGGGUGGAUGGCUGUGAAUUUAUAAAGCCUGCAGACCAGAGCAUGUGCUGGCACUAAGGAGAGACUUCACUACAACAAGAAAUGCUCCUCAUACUGCACAUCCUAAGGAGAGCUUCUGAUCAUGCCAUUCCAAAUCAGACUGUGAUCAAGCAGAAGACAACUGGCCAAAUCAGCUGGGGCAGGAAGCAUCCAAAACAUGUGGUCAAUCUUCCAUCUACAACGGGUAGCUUGAAGGACCAAUUACUAUGGAUGUUUGCCACUGAAAAUACGUCAUUAUGAACCAUCUGUGCAUCGUCUUCAAGAUGAUCCUCCAUCCUGUCAACUAGAACUAAUAAAAAUCCAAUAUUCUCUCA
This 933-nucleotide long non-coding RNA is filed under the name Pogona vitticeps (central bearded dragon). RNAcentral describes it as "lncRNA (ENSPVIG00000013552.1)". Lineage: Eukaryota; Metazoa; Chordata; Lepidosauria; Squamata; Agamidae. The record is from RNAcentral.